GCCUCACCGCUCGCUCUCCAUUCUGCAGCACCCCGCCUCACUAUAUAUGGACACCAUCCAUCCAUCCAUCCAGCCAGCCAUCCAUCCAUCCAUCCAUCCAUCAAGCCAGCCAGCCAGCCAUCCGUCCAUCACGUGUUUGGCCUGCAUGCAUUACUCCUAUGUUUUCCGUGUGGGCCACAAGGAGGAGUCUGCCAUCUGCCCUUGCUCCCUGCAAACCAGCGCUCACCUCUUGUGGCCCACCGACAACCCGGACUCAUACCCUACCAGACUGGUCCUCCUUGGAACCCUGCUAAUCCCGAAUCUAGUUCUCGGAGCCCUUUUUGUUUGCUUCCAAUCUACAAUAAACAUUUGUUCACAAACUA
Phycodurus eques (leafy seadragon) is the source of this 362-nucleotide long non-coding RNA. RefSeq lists it as uncharacterized. The transcript is spliced from 2 exons. Lineage: Eukaryota; Metazoa; Chordata; Actinopteri; Syngnathiformes; Syngnathidae. The record is from RefSeq and is a predicted model, not a curated record.